RNAcentral lists this ribosomal RNA (464 nucleotides) under uncultured bacterium. Its description in RNAcentral is "partial 16S ribosomal RNA". It matches the Rfam family "Bacterial small subunit ribosomal RNA", at positions 28 to 507 of the family's 1533-position model. The record is from RNAcentral.
GACGAACGCUGGCGGCGUGCUUAACACAUGCGAGUCGAACGGAAAGGCCCUGCUUGCAGGGUACUCGAGUGGCGAACGGGUGAGUAACACGUGGGUGAUCUGCCCUGCACUUCGGGAUAAGCCUGGGAAACUGGGUCUAAUACCGGAUAGGAGCCAUUUUUAGUGUGAUGGUUGGAAAGUUUUUUCGGUGUAGGAUGAGCUCGCGGCCUAUCAGCUUGUGGGUGGGGUAAUGGCCUACCAAGGCGGCGACGGGUAGCCGGCCUGAGAGGGUGGACGGCCACAUUGGGACUGAGAUACGGCCCAGACUCCUACGGGAGGCAGCAGUGGGGAAGAUUGCACAAUGGGCGCAAGCCUGAUGCAGCGACGCCGCGUGGGGGAUGACGGCCUUCGGGUUGUAAACUCCUUUCGCUAGGGACGAAGCUUUUGUGACGGUACCUAGAUAAGAAGCACCGGCUAACUACGUG